This 212-nucleotide non-coding RNA is filed under the name Jeotgalibacillus campisalis. Its description in RNAcentral is "T-box sequence". It matches the Rfam family "T-box leader". Rfam says of the family: Uncharged tRNA acts as the effector for transcription antitermination of genes in the T-box leader family. The record is from RNAcentral. Lineage: Bacteria; Bacillati; Bacillota; Bacilli; Caryophanales; Caryophanaceae.
AACGAAGCAAUGAAGAGAAUAAGUAGAAAAUCCUCCCUGUUACUUAGAGAAGCGGUGGCUGCUGAAAACCGCUACAAAGGAUUGAUCGAAUUACACUCUCUGAGCUGUUUUCUGCCCGCGUAGAAAACCGGAUAACAAUCCGUUAUGAAAUGAAGUGGAAGAGCCAAUGUGCUCUUAAGCUGGGUGGUACCGCGCAUAAAAGCGUCCCUGCA